RNAcentral lists this ribosomal RNA (495 nucleotides) under uncultured bacterium. RNAcentral's name for it is "partial 16S ribosomal RNA". It matches the Rfam family "Bacterial small subunit ribosomal RNA", at positions 29 to 523 of the family's 1533-position model. The record is from RNAcentral.
AUUGAACGCUGGCGGCAUGCCUUACACAUGCAAGUCGAACGACGCUAGGGGCAACCCUAGCGAGUGGCGAACGGGUGAGUAAUACAUCGGAACGUGUCCUGUUGUGGGGGAUAACCAGUCGAAAGAUUGGCUAAUACCGCAUGACCUCGUAAGAGAAAAGCGGGGGACCGCAAGGCCUCGCGCGACUGGAGCGGCCGAUGUCGGAUUAGCUAGUUGGCGGGGUAAAAGCCCACCAAGGCGACGAUCCGUAGCUGGUUUGAGAGAACGACCAGCCACACUGGGACUGAGACACGGCCCAGACUCCUACGGGAGGCAGCAGUGGGGAAUUUUGGACAAUGGGCGCAAGCCUGAUCCAGCCAUGCCGCGUGUGUGAAGAAGGCCUUCGGGUUGUAAAGCACUUUCGGGCGGAACGAAAUCGCGCGGGUUAACAGCCCGCGUGGAUGACGGUACCGCAAGAAGAAGCACCGGCUAACUACGUGCCAGCAGCCGCCGUAA